UAAGGAAUAUUGCUCAAUGGGAGAAAUCCUGAAGCAGCAACGCCGCGUGGAGGAUGAAGGGUCUAUGACUUGUAAACUCCUGUAAAGAAGGAAAAAAUUCCCAUUAGAUGGGAGAUGUUGGUACUUCUGGAGUAAGCCCCGGCUAACUACGUGCCAGCAGCCGCGGUAAUACGUAGGGGGCAAGCGUUGUCCGGUUUUACUGGGUGUAAAGGGUGCUCAGGCGGAUUUGUAAGUCAGAGGUGAAAUCUGACAGCUUAACUGUGAAACUGCCUUUGAUACUGCAAGCCUAGAGUAUGGAAGAGAGUGAUGGAAUAUCUGGUGUAGCAGUGAAAUGCGUAGAUAUCAGAUAGAACACCCAUGGCGAAGGCAGUCACUUGGUCCAUUACUGACGCUAAAGCACGAAAGCGUGGGUAGCAAACA
This 420-nucleotide ribosomal RNA is filed under the name uncultured bacterium. RNAcentral describes it as "bacterial SSU rRNA". It matches the Rfam family "Bacterial small subunit ribosomal RNA", at positions 355 to 774 of the family's 1533-position model. The record is from RNAcentral.